GGGGGUGUAGCUCAAUGGUAGAGAGCUUACCUGGCAUGCAGCAGGCUCUGGGUUCAAUCCCUAGCACUGCAA
This 72-nucleotide transfer RNA is filed under the name Heterocephalus glaber (naked mole-rat). It matches the Rfam family "tRNA". Rfam says of the family: Transfer RNA (tRNA) molecules are approximately 80 nucleotides in length. Their secondary structure includes four short double-helical elements and three loops (D, anti-codon, and T loops). The record is from Rfam by way of RNAcentral. Lineage: Eukaryota; Metazoa; Chordata; Mammalia; Rodentia; Bathyergidae.